CCCACGUGCCAAUGAGGAUCGUGUUCUGGCUCACUGUUGGCGUCCUUGGAGAAGUCAGUGCUCUGAGCAGGCUGCUGGGCUGCUCCUUCCCUGGUGUCUGAGUUCUGAACCUCAAAGUGGCUGUGGAAAACCUUCCUGAGAAGCGAUGGCAUGAAGAGGAGGAGCUGCACAAGCACUCUCAGGUUGGGUUGCUGAUGCUAUCUGGCUGUUGAUAAUUGCUAGCGGAAACGGUUGGGCUGUCGUAAGCAAACUGCUGGUGUUCUGAGCUGUUAGAUGCAUCUCUGCUCUUGCUCUGAUGACUUUGAGUGAGGAGGGCAAUUAAGCCACAGGU
Molecule: long non-coding RNA, 331 nt
Filed under: Chrysolophus pictus (golden pheasant)
Lineage: Eukaryota; Metazoa; Chordata; Aves; Galliformes; Phasianidae
Description: lncRNA (ENSCPIG00010002715.1)
Source: RNAcentral